AUGGGCGCGAAAGACAAGGCGCAGGCCCGGGCCCGGGCCCCGCCCCCCGCCGUCGUGCCGGACGAGGCGUACCUGGAGGCGGUGACGGGGAAGCGGGACCGCCUGUUCGAGCAGAUACUGGACAGGCAGGCCCGCCAGCGCGCCCAAAACGGCGGCAGUCCCAUCAAGAUAACUUUGCAUGAUGGCACGGUCAAGGAAGGGAAGAAGUGGAUGUCGACCCCUAUGGACAUCGCGAAGGAGAUAUCAAGCGGGCUAGCAGCUAGCUGUUUGAUAGCUCAAGUGAACGGAGGACUGUGGGACAUGACAAGGCCACUGGAAGGUGACUGCGAACUGAACUUGCUCACCUUCGAUAGCAAAGAAGGGCGGGACACUCUGUGGCACUCGAGUGCCCACAUUCUCGGAGAGGCUCUCAAGCGUGUGUACGGCUGCAAACUAUUUAUCGGUCCUUGUACUGCGAGAGGGGAAGGUUUCUACUACGACGCCUACUAUGACAAUGCCACACUGAAUGGCUCCCCUACAUUAUAUAGAUGUGGUCCUUUGGUUGACCUAUGCCGUGGACCGCACAUCCCGAAUACUUCCUUCGUUAAAGCUUUUGCUUGCCUCAAGGCUUCGUCCUCAUAUUGGAGGGGAAAAGCAGACCGUGAGAGCCUGCAGAGAGUAUAUGGGAUUUCUUUCCCUCAUUCUAAACUUCUCAAGGAAUAUCAAUGUAUGAUGGAGGAGGCUGCGGAGCGCGAUCAUAGGUUAUUGGGGGAGUCCCAGAAACUCUUCUUUUUCGAUUCGCUUAGCCCAGGAAGUUGCUUCUUCCUUCCACAUGGUAAAAAAAUAGUUAACAAAUUGAAGGCUUUUUUGCGACAAAAAUACAGGGACAGAGGCUACCAAGAGGUUGAGAGUCCAACUGUUCUCAAGAUGAAGCUUUGGGAAACAUCUGGGCAUAGUGCGAACUACAAGGAGAACAUGUUUGUUUUUGAGAUCGAUGGAGAGGAGUUUGGUCUUAAGCCAAUGUAUUGCCCUGGGCAUUGCAUAAUAUUUAAGCACGAGACUCGUUCUUACAGAGAGUUGCCACUGCGCAUUGCUGAUUUUGGAGUUCUUCACAGAAACGAGGCUAGUGGAGCACUUUCAGGCUUGACACGCGUUAGAAGAUUCCAACAGGAUGAUGCCCAUAUUUUUUGCAGAGAGAGCCAAAGACCAGAGAAGUAUUUAGGUGAUAUUGAAACCUGGAACAAAGCAGAACAACAACUGGCAGAAGCCUUGGAUGAGUUUGGGAAGCCAUGGGAGAUUAAUGAAGGAGAUGGUGCUUUCUAUGGCCCAAAAAUUGAUAUCGGUGUGUUUGAUGCCCUCAAAAGAAAAUUUCAGUGUGCAACACUUCAGCUGGAUUUUGCGCUGCCUGUUCGCUUCAAGCUGACUUAUGCAGCAGAGGAGGAAGCCAAGCUUGAGAGGCCUGUAAUCAUACAUAGGGCAAUACUAGGAUCGGUUGAAAGGAUGUUUGCCAUUCUUUUGGAGCAUUACUGCGGUAAAUGGCCGUUAUGGCUCAGCCCUCGUCAAGCCAUUGUUUGCUCUAUAUCGUCCGAUUCACUAGAAUAUGCAAAACAGGUUCAUGCUAAGAUACAUAACGCUGGAUUUGAUGUUGAAAUCGACAUGACUGAUAAGAAACUUCCGAAGAAGGUAUACGAUGCACAGUUAGCCCAGUUCAACUAUAUUCUUGCCGUGGGCCCAAAAGAGGUGGAAUCUGAAAUGGUUACCGUCAGGGUGAGAGAUAAGCGGGAACUCUCCACAAUGAGCGUUGACGAUCUCAUCUCUCUGUUAAGGGACGAAGUAGCGGCCUAUAGAUAG
RNAcentral lists this ribosomal RNA (1830 nucleotides) under Triticum aestivum (bread wheat). RNAcentral describes it as "partial small subunit ribosomal RNA". The record is from RNAcentral. Lineage: Eukaryota; Viridiplantae; Streptophyta; Magnoliopsida; Poales; Poaceae.